AACGUAGGUGGCGAGCGUUAUCCGGAUUUACUGGGCGUAAAGCGUGUGCAGGCGGGGAGACAAGUGGUGUAUGAAAUUUCCCGGCUUAACCGGGAAGGGUUAUGCCAGACUGUCUUUCUGGAGUGCGAGAGAGGGGCGUGGAAUUCCGGGUGUAGUGGUGAAAUGCGUAGAUAUCGGGAGGAACACCAGUGGCGAAGGCGGCUCACUGGCCCGGAACUGACGCUGAGGUGCGAAAGCGUGGGGAGCAAACAGG
RNAcentral lists this ribosomal RNA (253 nucleotides) under uncultured bacterium. Its description in RNAcentral is "partial 16S ribosomal RNA". It matches the Rfam family "Bacterial small subunit ribosomal RNA", at positions 524 to 776 of the family's 1533-position model. The record is from RNAcentral.